RNAcentral lists this long non-coding RNA (223 nucleotides) under Lathyrus oleraceus (garden pea). Its description in RNAcentral is "Pisum sativum (pea) long non-coding RNA (PSAT_LNC014736)". Lineage: Eukaryota; Viridiplantae; Streptophyta; Magnoliopsida; Fabales; Fabaceae. The record is from RNAcentral.
AGUGGUACGUAUCUCAGCUUACCAAGUGACUAUGUAAGUCAAUGUUUCGAAUUACUCUGAUUUUUUUCUAGAAAAUAUGAAGAAAAAAACAACAAACUUGACUCCCUUUGAAGAAACUUCUAAGGGAUUUUGACCAUCAAAUCGCAAAUUCCUCGUUUUUCUGUUUUAUUUGAAUUUUUUCUAUUUUCAUAUUUUAAAAAAAAUCCAAAAAAAUUGGUGGAUU